CCUACGGGAGGCAGCAGUGGGGGAUAUUGCACAAUGGGGGGAACCCUGAUGCAGCGACGCCGCGUGGGUGAAGAAGCGCCUCGGCGCGUAAAGCCCUGUCUGCCGGGAAGCAAAUGACGGUACCUGCAGAAGAAGCCACGGCUAACUACGUGCCAGCAGCCGCGGCAAUACGUAGGGGGCCAGCGUUAUCCGGAUUUACUGGGGUGAAAGGGGGCGCAGACGGCGAUGCAAGCCAGGAGUGAAAGUCCGGGGCCCAACCCCGGGACUGCUGUUGGAACUGCGUGGCUGGAGUGCAGGAGGGGCAGGCGGAAUGCGUGGUGUAGCGGUGAAAUGCGUAGAUAUCAGGAGGAACACCGGUGGCGAAGGCAGCCUGCUGGACUGCAACUGACGUUGAGGCACGAAAGCGUGGGGAGCAAACAGGAUUAGAUACCCCAGUAGUC
Molecule: ribosomal RNA, 440 nt
Filed under: uncultured bacterium
Lineage: Bacteria
Description: partial 16S ribosomal RNA
Rfam family: Bacterial small subunit ribosomal RNA
Source: RNAcentral